RNAcentral lists this ribosomal RNA (382 nucleotides) under uncultured organism. Its description in RNAcentral is "partial 16S ribosomal RNA". It matches the Rfam family "Bacterial small subunit ribosomal RNA", at positions 527 to 896 of the family's 1533-position model. The record is from RNAcentral.
GUAGGUUGGCAACGCGUUGUCCGGAAUUAUUGGGCGUAAAGCGCGCGCAGGCGGGUCCUUUAAGUCCUGAUGUGAAAGCCCACGGCUCAACCGUGGAGGGUCAUUGGAAACUGGGGGACUUGAGUACAGAAGAGGAAAGCGGAAUUCCAAGUGUAGCGGUGAAAUGCGUAGAGAUUUGGAGGAACACCAGUGGCGAAGGCGGCUUUCUGGUCUGUAACUGACGCUGAGGCGCGAAAGCGUGGGGAGCAAACAGGAUUAGAUACCCCUGGUAGUCCACGCCGUAAACGAUGAGUGCUAAAGUGUUAGGGGGUUUCCCGCCCCCUUAGUGCUGCAGCUAAACGCAUUAAGCACUCCGCCCUGGGGGAGUACGGCCGCAAGGCUG